Molecule: long non-coding RNA, 906 nt
Filed under: Hordeum vulgare
Lineage: Eukaryota; Viridiplantae; Streptophyta; Magnoliopsida; Poales; Poaceae
Description: long non-coding RNA (HVUL_LNC014725)
Source: RNAcentral
CUAGCCACCAGCCAGGUUAAGAGGGGAUGAAAGGAGCAUGAGGAAGCGCGAGGAGGGCCAAACCCUAGGUAUUUAGUAGAAAGAGGGGGCGGGAGGCAUUAUGUGCCAAAAUUUUGGGAUUCGUUUGCCCACCAGUUAAUAGGACAGUAGUGAUUAAUCGGUCUGACAAGUAAUUAAUCGGUAUGAUAACUCAUUAAUCGAUCUAACUGGUCAAUUAAUCGUCACGACAAGUUAACACGAUGAAUAGGUGUUAUUCGAUUCGGUCACCCUAAGAGUAGCAAUUAACUAGCAAGUUAACUGGUUAAUCGGACGAAUUGUUGAACAGCUGGAGCAAGUUAACGGGCCAGCCCAUACGCCGUGUUUUUUAAUGGUCUUGGAAUCUUCUAGUAGGUUCUACAAGCUUUUAUUGGUAGUUUUUCUUUCAGUCUUUUCUAUCAUGGGUUUUGGCUGGUUUACUCAUUUUUCGGUUUCUUCUUUCACUUUUCUUUUCUUCUUUCGUUGCCUACUCUUUUUUUCCGGAUUCAGAAUCUCUUAUCAAAUUUGUGAAGUUUUUUCAAUUUUUGUGAACCUUUUUUCAUUCUUUAUGAACCUUUUCCAAAAUCUUUACCUAUUCCCGAACUUUUUUAAAGUUACAAUACCUUUUCAAUUGGUGAACUUUUUUCAAAAGUCAUGAUUUCAACAAAUGAUGAUUAUCUUUGUUCUUGAAUUUUUUGUGUGAACUUUUAGAAAUUACGAAAAUCUUAAUAUAAGCACAUUUUCUAAUUCAUGAACUUUUCUAUGUUCCCUUUUUGCAAAUUUCUAAACUCUUUUCAGAUUCAUUAUUUUUUUUAAAAGUAAAUGGUGAGUGAUUAGGGGCAAGGCUCAACAGUCAACAGUUAGGGACAAAAGUCAAAGAUCAAUGGUAUC